RNAcentral lists this transfer RNA (71 nucleotides) under Cavia porcellus (domestic guinea pig). It matches the Rfam family "tRNA". From Rfam's summary of the family: Transfer RNA (tRNA) molecules are approximately 80 nucleotides in length. The record is from Rfam by way of RNAcentral. Lineage: Eukaryota; Metazoa; Chordata; Mammalia; Rodentia; Caviidae.
GGGGAUGUAGCUCAGUUGUAGAGCACUUGCCUAGCAUGCUUGGAGGCUGGGUUCCAUUCCCAGUACUGCCA